AUUGAACGCUGGCGGCAGGCUUAACACAUGCAAGUCGAGCGGGGGAAGGUAGCUUGCUACCGGACCUAGCGGCGGACGGGUGAGUAAUGCUUAGGAAUCUGCCUAUUAGUGGGGGACAACAUCUCGAAAGGGAUGCUAAUACCGCAUACGUCCUACGGGAGAAAGCAGGGGAUCUUCGGACCUUGCGCUAAUCGAUGAGCCUAAGUCGGAUUAGCUAGUUGGUGGGGUAAAGGCCUACCAAGGCGACGAUCUGUAACGGGUCUGAGAGGAAGAUGCGCAACAAUGGGACUUAGACACGGCCCAGACUCCUACGGGAGGCAGCAGUGGGGAAUAUUGGACAAUGGGGGGAACCCUGAUCCAGCCAUGCCGCGUGUGUGAAGAAGGCCUUAUGGUUGUAAAGCACUUUAAGCGAGGAGGAGGCUACUUUAGUUAAUACCUAGAGAUAGUGGACGUUACUCGCAGAAUAAGCACCGGCUAACUCUGUGCCAGCCGCCGCCGUAA
This 501-nucleotide ribosomal RNA is filed under the name uncultured bacterium. RNAcentral's name for it is "partial 16S ribosomal RNA". It matches the Rfam family "Bacterial small subunit ribosomal RNA", at positions 30 to 523 of the family's 1533-position model. The record is from RNAcentral.